UUUCCGUAGGUGAACCUGCGGAAGGAUCAUUGUCGUGACCCUGACUAAAACAGACCGCGCCCGCGUCAUCCAAUCCGCCGGUGAUGGUAGCGUCCGUUGCUCGGCCAAGUCCUCGACCGCCUCCCCUCCUCGGAGUGGGGGCUCGGGGUAAAAGAACCCACGGCGCCGAAGGUGUCAAGGAACAGUGUGCCUAACCCGGGGGCAUGGCUAGCUUGCUAGUCGUCCCCCGUGUUGCAAAGCUAUUUAACCCACACAACUCUCGGCAACGGAUAUCUUGGCUCUU
This 283-nucleotide unclassified non-coding RNA is filed under the name root metagenome. Its description in RNAcentral is "partial contains small subunit ribosomal RNA, internal transcribed spacer 1, and 5.8S ribosomal RNA". The record is from RNAcentral.